This 458-nucleotide ribosomal RNA is filed under the name uncultured bacterium. RNAcentral describes it as "partial 16S ribosomal RNA". It matches the Rfam family "Bacterial small subunit ribosomal RNA", at positions 338 to 795 of the family's 1533-position model. The record is from RNAcentral.
CCUACGGGAGGCUGCAGUGAGGAAUAUUGGUCAAUGGGCGAGAGCCUGAACCAGCCAAGUCGCGUGAGGGAGUACUGCCCUAUGGGUUGUAAACCUCUUUUGUCGGGGAGCAACAGCCGGACGUGUCCGGCUGUGAGAGUACCCGAAGAAAAAGCAUCGGCUAACUCCGUGCCAGCAGCCGCGGUAAUACGGAGGAUGCGAGCGUUAUCCGGAUUUAUUGGGGUUAAAGGGUGCGCAGGCGGAUUUUUAAGUCAGCGGUCAAAUCGUGGGGCUCAACCCCAUCCAGCCGUUGAAACUGGGGAUCUAGAGUGUGCGAGAGGUAUGCGGAAUGCGUGGUGUAGCGGUGAAAUGCAUAGAUAUCACGCAGAACCCCGAUUGCGAAGGCAGCAUACCGGUGCACAACUGACGCUCAGGCACGAAAGCGUGGGUAUCGAACAGGAUUAGAUACCCGUGUAGUC